AAGGAAAGUUAUUAAUUUAAUAAUUUAUGUAUAAUAUUUAAGUCUAAGUAAAGGUUUUCAAUAGAGAAUAUAAAUAAGUUAAUAAAUAUUGUUAUGGCGUAAGCACCGCUUCGCGGCUAAAUAUAAUAAAAUAACUUAUUUUGGAAAAUCAAGCUCAUCUAAAAAAUUUUUUUUAGUAAGAAAUUAUCACAAGAUAUAGCUUAA
Molecule: non-coding RNA, 204 nt
Filed under: Juglanconis juglandina
Lineage: Eukaryota; Fungi; Ascomycota; Sordariomycetes; Diaporthales; Juglanconidaceae
Source: RNAcentral